AUGCUGUCACUGACUCUUUGUGUUUUCUCUCUACUGUUUCUAUCCAUUCUAACAGGUGUCAGCUGUCAAAAACUCACUCCAGUGAAGACAGAAGAGUCCAGUUUAGAAGGCAGCACUGUUACUCUGUCCUACAAAUACUCCAAAGAAGCAGCUGGUAGUGAUGAGUUUUACUGGUAUCGACAAUAUCCAGGAAACCCACCAGAGUUCCUCAUCUUUCACUUGGGGACAAAGAAUGAAACAAAGUCUGGACUGUCUGUUAGCGUGAGGAAGGAUAAAACCCAUCUGGAUCUGCAGAUCUCCUCUGCUGCAGUGACAGACUCUGCUGUGUACUACUGUGCUGUGAGGCCCACAGUG
Molecule: non-coding RNA, 354 nt
Organism: Centropristis striata (black sea bass)
Lineage: Eukaryota; Metazoa; Chordata; Actinopteri; Perciformes; Serranidae
Source: the annotation of a RefSeq genome assembly